This 69-nucleotide transfer RNA is filed under the name Bacteroidales bacterium. RNAcentral's name for it is "tRNA-Met". It matches the Rfam family "tRNA". From Rfam's summary of the family: Transfer RNA (tRNA) molecules are approximately 80 nucleotides in length. Their secondary structure includes four short double-helical elements and three loops (D, anti-codon, and T loops). Further hydrogen bonds mediate the characteristic L-shaped molecular structure. tRNAs have two regions of fundamental functional importance: the anti-codon, which is responsible for specific mRNA codon recognition, and the 3' end, to which the tRNAs corresponding amino acid is attached (by aminoacyl-tRNA synthetases). tRNAs cope with the degeneracy of the genetic code in two manners: having more than one tRNA (with a specific anti-codon) for a particular amino acid; and 'wobble' base-pairing, i.e. permitting non-standard base-pairing at the 3rd anti-codon position. Lineage: Bacteria; Pseudomonadati; Bacteroidota; Bacteroidia; Bacteroidales. The record is from RNAcentral.
AAUAGCUCAGCAUGUUAGAGCAACUGACUCAUAAUCAGUAGGUCCCAGGUUCAAGUCCUGGUGGGCCCA